CGAAAGAUUUAUCGGCUUAAGAUGAGCCCGCGUUGGAUUAGCUAGUUGGUGGGGUAAAGGCCUACCAAGGCGACGAUCCAUAGCUGGUCUGAGAUGAUGAUCAGCCACACUGGGACUGAGACACGGCCCAGACUCCUACGGGAGGCAGCAGUGGGGAAUAUUGGACAAUGGGCGGAAGCCUGAUCCAGCCAUGCCGCGUGAGUGAAGAAGGCCUUAGGGUUGUAAAGCUCUUUCACCGGUGAAGAUAAUGACGGUAACCGGAGAAGAAGCCCCGGCUAACUUCGUGCCAGCAGCCGCGGUAAUACGAAGGGGGCUAGCGUUGUUCGGAUUUACUGGGCGUAAAG
RNAcentral lists this ribosomal RNA (344 nucleotides) under uncultured Hyphomicrobiales bacterium. RNAcentral's name for it is "bacterial SSU rRNA". It matches the Rfam family "Bacterial small subunit ribosomal RNA", at positions 201 to 565 of the family's 1533-position model. The record is from RNAcentral. Lineage: Bacteria; Pseudomonadati; Pseudomonadota; Alphaproteobacteria; Hyphomicrobiales.